GUACUGAUCUUAACGGACUGUCAAUGCCCAAUUGGCAAUCCUAUGAUCAGGAACAUUUAGGAUGUGUAUACGAAAGAAUGGUCUCAUAAAUCUAACUUCUUUAGAUCAUAUUCUCCCAAUCACAUACUCCUUGGACUUUAUCGUUUAAGCAUAUAACAUUUAUAUGAGACGGCUCAAACAAUAAUCUUUGCCCUUGAUAUUAAACUAGAUUAGUUUAACAUGUGAAAUGUCCGUAAAGUAUCAUCAUAUGAUUGGUUUUAGGGCACAUUUCCAACAGAAAUCUUAUGGGUGAAAGGGACAAGAAAUGUGCAGCAAUUGAGUGCAAUGAUUCAAUAUUUCGAUGCAUGAAAUCAGAAAUAAUGAAGGAGACAAGGGUGGUGCACGACAUGGGUGGAUAAUGAGUGUAAUGGUGCAUGAAAUGAGUGCAAGAAAUUUGGUGCAUGAAGGGGACAAGGGUGAUUAUGAAGGGAAAAUUAUGAGAUUCUAGAAUGAGAUUUCAUAAUGACUAUCAUGCAUAUUCAAAUCAAAUUUAAUAUACGAAAGCAGCGGAAGCAUUUAUAACAUAUUAUCAAAGCUAUAGUCAUGCAAAUCCCCUUCAAGGUUCAUAGGUUUAUAUAUAAUGCAUCAAAACAUUUUAAAGAAUCAAGAACAAAGUGAAGGUUAGUCUUAUACCUCUUGAUCUAGACUUGAGACCAAGGAUGGACCACCUCCAAGCCCUUUGCUCCUUGAAAUCCUUGAGCCUAGCUUCCCUCCUUGCCUCCUCCACUUUGUUACAAUGAGUGCUCCUAGGUUCUCUUCAAGUUCCCAAAGUAGGAAACCUCUAAAGAUCCUCACCCACAAGUGUAGUGAGAAGGAUGAAGGAAUAACCAAAAGAGUGAAAGAUUGUUAGCUAAAUCACCCUCUUUGGUGGCCGGCCUUUGUGGUCUUAGAGAGCUAUUUUCUUUUGCCUCUUUGUUGUUCAAAAACUCACAAAAACCCUAAUGAACAAUAUCUUAUAAAGUUCCUUAUAUAGACAAAAGAAACCUAGUCAACACUUGACUAAAUAUCUCACCCUUUCCACCUUAAAGUGGCCGGCCUCUUUGUUGUUUGUUUGGGCUUUGGGCUUUUAUUAUUUCAAGUCAUCCAAUACUUGAAUAAAAGCCCAAUGGGUUUAGGCCCAAUGGGCCCAAUUAAACCCGAACGUUUCUUAAGCCCAAAACGAUCUUUAUCGCUUUUAUGAUUUCUUUAGACUUUCUAAAUUAAUCACAACAAUUAAUUAAUCCAAUUAAUUAUUUCCAUCAUCCAUUAGUUACUCACUACAAUAGUGUUUUGGUGAACAAUCUUUUAGGUUCUAAUUAGCAAGGCAGUGAGGUGAUUGGCAUCAAUCCAAUUGCUUAUGUUUAAUUCAAUCACUUAGUGAAUUAAAACUUCAUUUUAAUUCACCUUUCUUCUUUGAUGACUACAUUUAAUCAUCUAGAAGAACUCACAAGCUAUGAGUGACAUCUAACCAUAUGUCAUAGCUACCCAAGCUAAUGUAGAAGUUUAUUCGAAGAACCUAGUCAGUUGGAAUUACAAUGUAAUUCAAUCCUUCUCUAAUACAAUACUCUCAAUCACAUCAAUAGGGUAUGGAUAUAUCAUGUCAAACCCCUAAUGUGAUUAUUCCUUCAUAUAUGAUUCAUUUGAGUCUUAUAGGAACGCUUUCCAUUCAAUACGCUCGAUACUUCGACCGAAGAUUCCCGAAUCAUAUCUUAGAGUAUUCUUCCUCUCUUACCGAGGAUUAGAGAUUUCUUGUUGCGCAUACACUUGCCUUCAUGACUAAGUGGCUUAACCCUAAUUAUGCCGUGGACACCCUCGAAUGGGGAGACUUUGACAUAAUCAAAGAUUAAGUACUUAACCACAAGA
Molecule: long non-coding RNA, 1881 nt
Filed under: Malus domestica (apple)
Lineage: Eukaryota; Viridiplantae; Streptophyta; Magnoliopsida; Rosales; Rosaceae
Description: long non-coding RNA (MDOM_LNC018096)
Source: RNAcentral